Molecule: long non-coding RNA, 3259 nt
Filed under: Sus scrofa (pig)
Lineage: Eukaryota; Metazoa; Chordata; Mammalia; Artiodactyla; Suidae
Description: lncRNA (ENSSSCG00000055387.1, ENSSSCG00130020728.1, ENSSSCG00175001153.1)
Source: RNAcentral
CAUUUUCCUUUUUUUGCUCUCAGCCGGAGGACACUGAAUUCAGUCUUUGCGAUGACGAAUGCACAUAGAGCAGAGACUCCAUGGGGUGAACUGAUUAGUGUUACCUGAAGAUAGUUAACGUGUUCCCUGAGUCCUUCCCUUUGCAAACAGGGAAAUCUGGAAACAGCAGUUUUCAGACAGGUGGUAGGAUGGAUAUUUCUGGGCAGAAAGGAGCUGUCUCUGCCUCACCUUAGUGUUGCACUAAGAGGUAUGUCUCCCCAUGAAUCCAGCUCUGUCCCUCUGUCUUGCCUUUAUCAGUUCAUAGAAAUGCCAGGUAGCAGUCUCCUCCACUAAUAGGCUCAGCAGCAAGGUAGCCUCCUGCAGCGGUGCCUUCAGGGCAAAGGGUAAGGGAUACCCUCCCCAGCCUCUCUCCACCACCACACAUCUUCCCCGCUCUGUGAACAAGUAGGUGAAUUUGCAGAGCUUUAGGGAGACUCCCACCCGUCACAGACCAGACAGCUGCCUCCUGACCCUCUGCCCAGACUUCAGAGUCUAAACACGACUGCAGGGAGAGCUCGGUACCCCAAACCACAUUCAUACAUCAACAUUCAACAUCAGUCCCACCUAGUGCUCGGAGCAAUGGGUUUUUCACUCCUAGGUCCUGUUUUCUCAUCCGUAAAAUAGGAAGAACAGCCUCUAUCUUACGGCAAUAUUAAAUAAGCUCUAACAAGUGGCUCAGCAGUUUAAAGAUCCGGCCUCGUCACUGCUGUGGCUCAGUUUCUAUCCCUGGCCAGGGAACUCCUACAUGCCGUAGACACAGCCAAAAAAAUAAAAAAAUAAAAAGUUCAAACAGAACAUGUAAGCAUCCAAAAUUAUUCUUUUCAGGGAGUUCCCAUUGUGGCUCAGCAGGUUAAGAAACCAACUAGUAUCUGUGCAGAUGUGGGUUUGAUCCCUGGUCUCAAUCAGUGGGUUAAGAAUCUGGCAGUAUUGGGCACAGAAGCAGUUUGGAUCCAGCGUUUCUGUGGCUGUGGUGUAGGCCGAUAGCUGCAGCUCCGCUUUGACCCCUAGCCUGGGAACUUCCAUAUGCCGCAGAUGUGACCAUAAAAACAAACAAACCAAAUUAUUCUUUUCAGAGAGCAUCUCCCAGGACAGGGUGAGAACUCCCAGUUAACACCCUAUUAGCAUUUUGUAUGAGGAUCUGCAUCAAGCUGUCCCCUACUCAAAAGCUGUUCUCACCACAUGCCCAGCACGCUUCACCUGCACUGCCUCCCUUAAUCCUCAUGACAGUCCUCUGAGGCCAGUGCAGCUGUUCUCCCCAUUUCACAGAUGGCAAACUGGGGUGCAGGGAGGUUAACUAAAUGCCAGGACUGGGAUUCAAACCCACGUGACCUGGCUCCACCAUCACAUCUUGGCCACUGUGCUGUUUCACACACUGCACGGCCUACCGGGUGCCUGGGGCCAGAAGAGGCAAACACACGUGGUCUGAGAGCCCGUCUAGCUGUAACAUACCUGUCUUCUGCACUAAUCAGGGCUUGCCUCAAAUGAUGGCCCAAUGAUGGGAUGUUUAAUAUUCUGAGUGCUUUGAAAACUUCAAAUAUGUUUAAUAUCUGUAGUCUGUAAACACUUCCCUUGGACAGUCAGGAAUAAAAAUAGCAUAGCUUUUUAACAGCUAAUACUUUUAGCAGUUAGUUUGCCCUUACCCUCCUACAUUCUUUGGUUGAGACCCCCCAUGCCAUAAUAUAAGACAGAUUAUCAGGAGAAAAAAAAAUUUACGUGCUAUGUAUAGGAACCCUGCAAAGAUAUGAGGCACCAAAUGUGGCCAGAAAUUAAGACUUAUAUGCUGAGCUAGGAAUGCUUAGGAGACUGAGGCUUCAAAGAGAAGGGCAAAUGUUUAGUAAACCGAGUUUGCCCUGUUAUGCUCAGGUGAAAAAAUUAUCUCUGGAGGUAGAUUUCUUCCUGGUACAGGUCCCCUUUCUAAUAUAAAUUUUCCUUCUACUCUGUUUUCAGAGUUUCUCCUGUGUCUGCAGUUUCUCAAAAUAAUCCUUAUGCCAAAGAGCAAUCUUUUGGAUGGCACAUUCUGCUCCCCUUCACAGUUAAUCUAUCCUAGGAAUUGGGCUGAGUGCUUUACAUCAAUUCUAUCACUUAAUUUUCACAAAACUCUAUGAAAUAGGUGCUGUGACUCCACUCCUUUUACCGAUAGGACUCAGAAAGUUUAAAUAACUUGCCAGAAGUCACACAGCCAGUGAUAGCACCUACUUUGUAUGUUUGGGGGAUUAAAGGAGAUAACGCAUGUAUGCAAGUGUUUAGAAUAGAGCCUGGUAUACCAUGUAUAUUGUUCCCAGACUGUAUAGUGGUUCUUAGUAGGAUUCUUUGCCUCACUCUCUUAGGAGAGGCCAUUCUGACUUAGUCACCUUGGAAGGAGAUUUUUACCAACUAAAAUAACCCCACCAGUCACCAGCUAGCAGAAAGAUUUUCAAAUCAGCUGCUUAUGACAAAUGCCAGAGUCAUCAAAUUCUUUUAAUUAAAAUUAACUCUUGAAUCCCCAAUUUAUUCAGUUUCGUAAAUCUAAGACUAGGAAUUUUUAGGGAGAAUGAACUAUAGUCAGAGUCACAUCAUUUGUUUCUCAUUUUUCAUUUAAUUAUAUUCUUAUUUAAAAUUUUGGUGGAAAUCAUAUUUUAUAUCCUGCAAUAUGUCCAUUCCAACAGAAGAGACACUUUAUUGCUACCUCUUCCUUUACUAUCCUUUUUUCUUCUCAAAGCCUCUGGCUCCAUCCUGCCCCACCACCACCCCUCUAAGCCAACUCAAUCAUUGUUCCUGGCUCCAUAUUUGGAUGUACCUGGUUCCCGAUCUCUCCAGUUGGACUCUUGACCAAAGAGGUUAUUAGACGGGUAAGGCUUCCUCUUCCUAAUGACCACCACUCAUAGCAUAACUUGGAUAUAUAAUCAGAUGAAGACGAAGGGCAGAGAAUACAAAGAGUACCUGUCCCACCACACUCCAUGCUACCCUCUCCCAGCACAUGGGAGGGCCAGCACUCAGAGCCAGAGAAGACGAUUCUGGGGCUGUGGCUCAGUGGUUAAAGAACCCAACUAGAAUCCAUGAGGAUGUGGGUUCAGUUCCCUGGCCUCGCUCAGUGGGUUAAGGAUCUGGUGUUGCCGUGAGCUGUGGUGUAGGUUGCAGACAUAGCUCAGAUCCCACAUUGCUGUGGCAGUGGUGUAGGCCAGCAGCUGUAGCGCCAAUUAGACCCCUAGCCUGGGAACCUCCAUAUGCCACAGGUGCGGCC